Molecule: ribosomal RNA, 429 nt
Filed under: Chloroflexota bacterium
Lineage: Bacteria; Bacillati; Chloroflexota
Description: Chloroflexi bacterium partial 16S ribosomal RNA
Rfam family: Bacterial small subunit ribosomal RNA
Source: RNAcentral
UGGGGAAUAUUGCACAAUGGGCGCAAGCCUGAUGCAGCCAUGCCGCGUGUGUGAAGAAGGCCUUCGGGUUGUAAAGCACUUUCAGCGGGGAGGAAGGCGAUAAGGUUAAUAACCUUGUCGAUUGACGUUACCCGCAGAAGAAGCACCGGCUAACUCCGUGCCAGCAGCCGCGGUAAUACGGAGGGUGCAAGCGUUAAUCGGAAUUACUGGGCGUAAAGCGCACGCAGGCGGUCUGUCAAGUCGGAUGUGAAAUCCCCGGGCUUAACCUGGGAACUGGAUUUGAAACUGGGAGGGUAGAGUCUUGGAGAGGGGGGUAGAAUUCCAGGUGUAGCGGUGAAAUGCGUAGAGAUCUGGAGGAAUACCGGUGGCGAAGGCGGCCCCCUGGACAAAGACUGACGCUCAGGUGCGAAAGCGUGGGGAGCAAACAGG